Molecule: ribosomal RNA, 519 nt
Filed under: uncultured eukaryote
Lineage: Eukaryota
Description: SSU rRNA
Rfam family: Eukaryotic small subunit ribosomal RNA
Source: RNAcentral
AGGGCACCACCAGGAGUGGAGCCUGCGGCUUAAUUUGACUCAACGCGGGAAAACUCACCCGGCCCGGACACCGUAAGGAUUGACAGAUUGAGAGCUCUUUCUUGAUUCGGUGGGUGGGGGUGCUUGGCCGUUCUUAGUUGGGGGAGCGAUUUGUCUGGUUAAUUCCGAUAACGAACGAGACUCUAGCCUACUAAAUAGUGACUGAAUUUUUAAUUCAGUAUACUUCUUAGAGGGACAAAGGGGAUCUAGCCCUACGAGAUUGAGCAAUAACAGGUCUGUGAUGCCCUUAGAUGUCCGGGGCUGCACGCGCGCUACACUGAAGGAGUCAACAUGCAUUGAAACCUAGUCUGGAAAGACCGGGUAACCCAAUGAAACUCCUUCGUGAUUGGGAUAGGGAAUUGUAAUUAUUUCCCUUGAACGAGGAAUCCCUAGUAAAUGCGGGUCAUCAUCUCGCGUUGAUUACGUCCCUGCCCUUUGUACACACCGCCCGUCGCUACUACCGAUUGGAUGUUUCGGUGA